This 461-nucleotide ribosomal RNA is filed under the name uncultured bacterium. Its description in RNAcentral is "bacterial SSU rRNA". It matches the Rfam family "Bacterial small subunit ribosomal RNA", at positions 61 to 510 of the family's 1533-position model. The record is from RNAcentral.
GUCGAACGGCAGCACAGCANAAGCUUGCUCUGUGGGUGGCGAGUGGCGGACGGGUGAGGAAUACAUGGGAAUCUGCCCAGUCGUGGGGGAUAACGUAUGGAAACGUACGCUAAUACCGCAUGCGCCCUACGGGGGAAAGCCGGGGACCUUCGGGCCUGGCGCGAUUGGAUGAGCCCAUGUUCGAUUAGCUAGUUGGGGGGGUAAAGGCCCACCAAGGCGACGAUCGAUAGCUGGUCUGAGAGGAUGAUCAGCCACACUGGGACUGAGACACGGCCCAGACUCCUACGGGAGGCAGCAGUAGGGAAUAUUGGACAAUGGGCGCAAGCCUGAUCCAGCCAUGCCGCGUGAGUGAAGAAGGCCCUCGGGUUGUAAAGCUCUUUUGUCCGGAAAGAAAAGCAUUCGGUUAAUACCCGGGUGUUCUGACGGUACCGGAAGAAUAAGCACCGGCUAACUUCGUGCCA